Molecule: long non-coding RNA, 1516 nt
Organism: Beta vulgaris subsp. vulgaris (sugar beet)
Lineage: Eukaryota; Viridiplantae; Streptophyta; Magnoliopsida; Caryophyllales; Amaranthaceae
Exons: 2
Source: RefSeq, a predicted model, not a curated record
UUUAGAAAAAAAAAAAGUUUAAAUACAUAUCUCUAUGUAGCUAAGGUGUCAAAUUUUAUAAGAGUUUUAAACUCUCAUUUCUUCUCCCCUCUCAAUCGUGUCUUGCUAAGCCAAAGACCAACUCAUCUAAAGCCAUGAGCUGUCACAAUUUCCUUAAUUCAUCAAACAAAUCUCCUCCAUAAGUUUUUACCAAACCUUAAUAUUAGCUCAAUCAGAGAAAAACUAGAAAACUCCAGAAAUCCUCAUCUCAUCCCCUGUUUUUUUUACAAUAUUCUGCCUCAAUUAUCUACGGCAUGCAGUCCAGUUUUGUUCUUUGUUGCUUCAUCAAAGUUGUAGAUCUUUUCGAGUUAUUGAAUUUAGGCUCAAAAAUUUCUUCAUUCGGAGUUCGGAGCUAUAAGUUAUAGGCUUUGCAAGUUUGUUGUUGCUGCUGAACUUCUGGAUGCGUUGUUGCUACUGUAUGUUUGUUAUUGCCGUAGUGUUGUUCCGUGUGUGUGAUUUAUGGGUGGUUGUUGUUGGUGCUUGCAACCAUCAUUUUCUUCAUUCUUUUGUGGAGAGAAUGCUUUGGAGAAGUAUAUAAUUCAAGCUAAGAUGGAGGUCAAUGUUAUGAUUCUUGGAGGUUGCAUAUAAUUGUAUUUGGUUUAUCUUGAAGUGAUUAUCGUAUCGAGGUAACCUUUAUGUUCAGCAAAAUUUAUUUAAAUUCCCGUGUAUGCGUUAUAUCGAAUUUUAGAAAUCAUAUAUCGUUUAUAGUCAUGGCCAUGGUUAUAGUGCAUAUUUAUAAGUUAAUUGUGAAUUGAUAUUUGAUGGUUAUGAAAGAAUAGUACUUUUGUUAUGUUAUUGGAAUUGUUCGGAAACUAUAAAGUAUUCUAGAAAUGUGAUUUGAGUAUGAUAAUGAGAAAAUGUUUUCGAAAUGGUUUUAGCUGGCUUAGUUUAUGAACUGAGAUGAAUAGUGGGCAAGGUACAGGUGGAGUAAAAUGAUUUGUAUAUGAGUAAGACCAGAUAAGGUCGAAUAUUAUGUUAAGUUAUGUUAUAAGCCUGUACUUGCCAACGAUUUAUGUAAUGUGAUUAAGCUAUGCCAGCGAUAUAUUUAAAAGAUGAAUUAUUUCCGAACAAUUAUCAAGUUGUUUCUGAUAUGAAAAAUGUUUACGAAUCAAAACCGUUUUGACGGGCUGAAGUAAAGUUACUGAGUUUUUCGCUCAUUUUAGUUUUGUUUUUGUUUUGUAUUUUCUUCUGUAAUUUGCAGGUUUGUAUUGGGAGCUCAUAGUGGAUCGAAAGUAAAGAGUUGAUUAUUGAAUUGGAAAUUAAAUUAGUGAUUCUUAGUUAUAUUUAGAAUAUAAGUUGUUGUAUUAAGUUCUCAUUUGAUAUUUAAGUAUUAUAUUAUUUUGGAAGUCGAGCAAGGUAUUAUGUAAUAUGUUAUUUGGUUUUGAGGAUGACUGUGGUGGGCCCAUAACCCACAGGUCCAGGAUCGCUUUAAGGUUUAUGUUCCGCUGCGAGUAAUUAUUAAUUCGAGGUUUAUUAA